Molecule: ribosomal RNA, 622 nt
Filed under: Trichoderma harzianum
Lineage: Eukaryota; Fungi; Ascomycota; Sordariomycetes; Hypocreales; Hypocreaceae
Description: eukaryotic LSU rRNA
Rfam family: 5.8S ribosomal RNA (bases 259-412)
Source: RNAcentral
UUUGGAAGUAAAAGUCGUAACAAGGUCUCCGUUGGUGAACCAGCGGAGGGAUCAUUACCGAGUUUACAACUCCCAAACCCAAUGUGAACGUUACCAAACUGUUGCCUCGGCGGGAUCUCUGCCCCGGGUGCGUCGCAGCCCCGGACCAAGGCGCCCGCCGGAGGACCAACCAAAACUCUUAUUGUAUACCCCCUCGCGGGUUUUUUUAUAAUCUGAGCCUUCUCGGCGCCUCUCGUAGGCGUUUCGAAAAUGAAUCAAAACUUUCAACAACGGAUCUCUUGGUUCUGGCAUCGAUGAAGAACGCAGCGAAAUGCGAUAAGUAAUGUGAAUUGCAGAAUUCAGUGAAUCAUCGAAUCUUUGAACGCACAUUGCGCCCGCCAGUAUUCUGGCGGGCAUGCCUGUCCGAGCGUCAUUUCAACCCUCGAACCCCUCCGGGGGGUCGGCGUUGGGGAUCGGCCCUGCCUUGGCGGUGGCCGUCUCCGAAAUACAGUGGCGCUCUGGCCGCAGCCUCUCAUGCGCAGUAGUUUGCACACUCGCAUUAAGGGCGAGGCGCGUCCACAGCCGUUAAACACCCAACUUCAGGAAUGUGCGUGCGCGGCAGAGGGAAACCCGUCCCCCCAUU